GCCCUUAUGGUCUAGUUUGGAUUUAAGACAAUUUUUUUCAAAAAAUUAACGAGUAUUCAAAUUACUCUAAGGGUU
Molecule: transfer RNA, 75 nt
Filed under: Balanophora japonica
Lineage: Eukaryota; Viridiplantae; Streptophyta; Magnoliopsida; Santalales; Balanophoraceae
Also listed under: 1 other name
Description: tRNA-Glu
Source: RNAcentral